CAGGUGUAGUUCAAUGGUAGAACCUCAGCCUUCCAAGCUGAUGACGCGGGUUCGAUUCCCACUACCUG
This 68-nucleotide transfer RNA is filed under the name chicken gut metagenome. It matches the Rfam family "tRNA". Rfam says of the family: Transfer RNA (tRNA) molecules are approximately 80 nucleotides in length. Their secondary structure includes four short double-helical elements and three loops (D, anti-codon, and T loops). Further hydrogen bonds mediate the characteristic L-shaped molecular structure. tRNAs have two regions of fundamental functional importance: the anti-codon, which is responsible for specific mRNA codon recognition, and the 3' end, to which the tRNAs corresponding amino acid is attached (by aminoacyl-tRNA synthetases). tRNAs cope with the degeneracy of the genetic code in two manners: having more than one tRNA (with a specific anti-codon) for a particular amino acid; and 'wobble' base-pairing, i.e. permitting non-standard base-pairing at the 3rd anti-codon position. The record is from RNAcentral.